Molecule: ribosomal RNA, 31 nt
Filed under: Piper auritifolium
Lineage: Eukaryota; Viridiplantae; Streptophyta; Magnoliopsida; Piperales; Piperaceae
Description: partial 18S ribosomal RNA
Source: RNAcentral
GUAGNUGAACUGCGGAAGGAUCAUUGUUGAU